RNAcentral lists this ribosomal RNA (299 nucleotides) under uncultured bacterium. Its description in RNAcentral is "partial 16S ribosomal RNA". It matches the Rfam family "Bacterial small subunit ribosomal RNA", at positions 479 to 776 of the family's 1533-position model. The record is from RNAcentral.
CUAUGCGCCUUGCCCAGCCCGCUCAGGUGUGCCAGCCGCCGCGGUAAUACGGAGGAUGCGAGCGUUAUCCGGAUUUAUUGGGUUUAAAGGGUGCGUAGCGGGAUGCCAAGUCAGCGGUAAAAAUGCGGUGCUCAACGCCCGUCGAGCCGUUGAAACUGGCGUUCUUGAGUGGGCGAGAAGUAUGCGGAAUGCGUGGUGUAGCGGUGAAAUGCAUAGAUAUCACGCAGAACUCCGAUUGCGAAGGCAGCAUACCGGCGCCCUACUGACGCUGAGGCACGAAAGCGUGGGUAUCGAACAGG